RNAcentral lists this ribosomal RNA (301 nucleotides) under uncultured bacterium. RNAcentral's name for it is "partial 16S ribosomal RNA". It matches the Rfam family "Bacterial small subunit ribosomal RNA", at positions 509 to 809 of the family's 1533-position model. The record is from RNAcentral.
CAGCAGCCGCGGUAAUACGUAGGUGGCGAGCGUUGUCCGGAAUUAUUGGGCGUAAAGGGAGCGCAGGCGGACAUAUAAGUCCAUCUUAAAAGUGCGGGGCUCAACCCCGUGAGGGGAUGGAAACUGUAUGCCUUGAGUGCAGGAGAGGAAAGCGGAAUUCCCAGUGUAGCGGUGAAAUGCGUAGAUAUUGGGAGGAACACCAGUGGCGAAGGCGGCUUUCUGGACUGUAACUGACGCUGAGGCUCGAAAGCCAGGGGAGCGAACGGGAUUAGAUACCCGCGUAGUCCCUGUCUCUUAUACA